UCUCCGUUGGUGAACCAGCGGAGGGAUCAUUAUAGAGUUCUAAACUCCCAAACCGUUUGUGAACCUUACCUACUGUUGCUUCGGCGGGUACGCGCCGGCGCCACUGCGUGCCGGAGCCACGGCGCCCGCCGGGGGGCCGAAAAUCUUGAUUCCUACAGUGGUAUUCUCUCUGAGUGGCACAAGAAUAAUAAAAUUAAAACUUUCAACAACGGAUCUCUUGGUUCUG
RNAcentral lists this unclassified non-coding RNA (226 nucleotides) under plant metagenome. Its description in RNAcentral is "partial contains small subunit ribosomal RNA, internal transcribed spacer 1, and 5.8S ribosomal RNA". The record is from RNAcentral.